GCGGAAGUGGCGAAAUUGGUAGACGCACCAGAUUUAGGUUCUGGCGCCGCGAGGCGUAAGAGUUCAAGUCUCUUCUUCCGC
This 81-nucleotide transfer RNA is filed under the name Vibrio cholerae. RNAcentral describes it as "tRNA-Leu". It matches the Rfam family "tRNA". From Rfam's summary of the family: Transfer RNA (tRNA) molecules are approximately 80 nucleotides in length. Their secondary structure includes four short double-helical elements and three loops (D, anti-codon, and T loops). The record is from RNAcentral. Lineage: Bacteria; Pseudomonadati; Pseudomonadota; Gammaproteobacteria; Vibrionales; Vibrionaceae.